CCUACGGGAGGCAGCAGUGAGGAAUAUUGGGCAAUGGGCGGGAGACUGAACCAGCCAAGCCGCGUGAGGGAUGAAGGUACAGAGGAUCGUAAACCUCUUUUGUCAGGGAACAAAGGCGGGGACGUGUCCCCGGAUGAGUGUACCUGAAGAAAAAGCAUCGGCUAACUCCGUGCCAGCAGCCGCGGUAAUACGGAGGAUGCGAGCGUUAUCCGGAUUUAGUGGGUUAAAGGGGUGUGCAGGCGGUCUGUUAAGUCAGCGGUCAAAGCCCGGGGCUCAACCCCGGCCCGCCGUUGAAACUGGCAGUCUCGAGUUGGAGAGAAGUAUGCGGAAUGCGCGGUGUAGCGGUGAAAUGCAUAGAUAUCGCGCAGAACUCCGAUUGCGAAGGCAGCAUGCCGGCUCCACACUGACGCUGAGGCACGAAAGCGUGGGUAUCGAACAGGAUUAGAUACCCUGGUAGUC
Molecule: ribosomal RNA, 459 nt
Filed under: uncultured bacterium
Lineage: Bacteria
Description: partial 16S ribosomal RNA
Rfam family: Bacterial small subunit ribosomal RNA
Source: RNAcentral